RNAcentral lists this ribosomal RNA (497 nucleotides) under uncultured bacterium. Its description in RNAcentral is "partial 16S ribosomal RNA". It matches the Rfam family "Bacterial small subunit ribosomal RNA", at positions 28 to 507 of the family's 1533-position model. The record is from RNAcentral.
GAUGAACGCUGGCGGCGUGCCUAAUACAUGCAAGUCGAGCGAACAGACGAGGAGCUUGCUCCUCUGACGUUAGCGGCGGACGGGUGAGUAACACGUGGAUAACCUACCUAUAAGACUGGGAUAACUUCGGGAAACCGGAGCUAAUACCGGAUAAUAUAUUGAACCGCAUGGUUCAAUAGUGAAAGACGGUUUUCCUGUCACUUAUAGAUGGAUCCGCGCCGCAUAAGCUAGUUGGUAAGGUAACGGCUUACCAAGGCGACGAUGCGUAGCCGACCUGAGAGGGUGAUCGGCCACACUGGAACUGAGACACGGUCCAGACUCCUACGGGAGGCAGCAGUAGGGAAUCUUCCGCAAUGGGCGAAAGCCUGACGGAGCAACGCCGCGUGAGUGAUGAAGGUCUUCGGAUCGUAAAACUCUGUUAUUAGGGAAGAACAAAUGUGUAAGUAACUAUGCACGUCUUGACGGUACCUAAUCAGAAAGCCACGGCUAACUACGUG